RNAcentral lists this ribosomal RNA (744 nucleotides) under uncultured bacterium. Its description in RNAcentral is "bacterial SSU rRNA". It matches the Rfam family "Bacterial small subunit ribosomal RNA", at positions 8 to 796 of the family's 1533-position model. The record is from RNAcentral.
AGAGUUUGAUCAUGGCUCAGAACGAACGCUGGCGGCAGGUUUAACACAUGCAAGUCGAACGCGUGUAGCAAUACACGAGUGGCGCACGGGUGAGUAACGCGUGGAUAUCUGCCUUUUGGUUCGGAAUAACCCCGGGAAACUGGGGCUAAUACCGGAUGGUUCCUACGGGAUAAAGAUUUAUCGCCAAAAGAUGAGUCCGCGUACGAUUAGCUAGUUGGUGAGGUAAUGGCUCACCAAGGCGACGAUCGUUAGCUGGUCUGAGAGGACGAUCAGCCACACUGGGACUGAGACACGGCCCAGACUCCUACGGGAGGCAGCAGUGGGGAAUAUUGGACAAUGGGGGCAACCCUGAUCCAGCCAUGCCGCGUGAGUGAUGAAGGCCUUCGGGUUGUAAAGCUCUUUUGGCGGGGACGAUGAUGACGGUACCCGCAGAAUAAGCCCCGGCUAACUUCGUGCCAGCAGCCGCGGUAAGACGAAGGGGGCUAGCGUUGUUCGGAAUUACUGGGCGUAAAGCGAGUGUAGGUGGUUGUCCAAGUUGGAUGUGAAAGCCUUGAGCUCAACUCAAGAAAUGCAUUCAGGACUGGGCGGCUAGAGGACCGGAGAGGAUAGUGGAAUUCCCAGUGUAGUGGUGAAAUACGUAGAGAUUGGGAAGAACACCAGUGGCGAAGGCGGCUAUCUGGACGGUUUCUGACACUAAGACUCGAAAGCGUGGGGAGCAAACAGGAUUAGAUACCCUAGUAGUCC